GUCUAUGGCCAUGCCACCCUGAACACACUCGAUCCCGUCUGAUCUUGGAAGCUAAGCAGGGUUGAGUCUGGUUAAUACUUGGAUGGGAGACCACCUAGGAAGACCAGGUGCUGUAGGUG
RNAcentral lists this ribosomal RNA (119 nucleotides) under Pteropus alecto (black flying fox). The record is from RNAcentral. Lineage: Eukaryota; Metazoa; Chordata; Mammalia; Chiroptera; Pteropodidae.